GACGAACGCUGGCGGCGUGCUUAACACAUGCAAGUCGAGCGGUAAGGCCCUUUCGGGGGUACACGAGCGGCGAACGGGUGAGUAACACGUGGGUGACCUGCCCUCAGCUCUGGGAUAAGCCUGGGAAACCGGGUCUAAUACCGGAUAUGACUCCAUGACGCAUGUUGUGGGGUGAAAGCCUUGUGCGGCUGAGGAUGGGCCCGCGGCCUAUCAGCUUGUUGGUGGGGUGAGGCCUACCAAGGCGACGACGGGUAGCCGGCCUGAGAGGGCGACCGGCCACACUGGGACUGAGACACGGCCCAGACUCCUACGGGAGGCAGCAGUGGGGAAUCUUGCGCAAUGGGCGAAAGCCUGACGCAGCGACGCCGCGUGAGGGAUGACGGCCUGG
This 388-nucleotide ribosomal RNA is filed under the name uncultured bacterium. RNAcentral's name for it is "bacterial SSU rRNA". It matches the Rfam family "Bacterial small subunit ribosomal RNA", at positions 28 to 419 of the family's 1533-position model. The record is from RNAcentral.